RNAcentral lists this ribosomal RNA (538 nucleotides) under uncultured Glomeromycotina. RNAcentral describes it as "SSU rRNA". It matches the Rfam family "Eukaryotic small subunit ribosomal RNA", at positions 552 to 1096 of the family's 1831-position model. The record is from RNAcentral. Lineage: Eukaryota; Fungi; Glomeromycota.
AGGGCAAGUCUGGCGCCAGCAGCCGCGGUAAUUCCAGCUCCAAUAGCGUAUAUUAAAGUUGUUGCAGUUAAAAAGCUCGUAGUUGAAUUUCGGGGUUCUACCGUUGGUCGGGCUUUGUCUGUACUGGCGUGUAGAAUUUCUACCUUCUGGGGAACCAUUAUGUUAUUAAUUUAGCGUAGUGGGAAACCAGGACCUUUACCUUGAAAAAAUUAGAGUGUUCAAAGCAGGCUUAUGUCUGAAUACAUUAGCAUGGAAUAAUAGAAUAGGACGGUGGUCCUGUUUUGUUGGUUUCUGAAUCACCGUAAUGAUUAAUAGGGAUAGUUGGGGGCAUUAGUAUUCAAUUGUCAGAGGUGAAAUUCUUGGAUUUAUUGAAGACUAACUUCUGCGAAAGCAUUUGCCAAGGAUGUUUUCAUUAAUCAAGAACGAAAGUUAGGGGAUCGAAGACGAUCAGAUACCGUCGUAGUCUUAACCAUAAACUAUGCCGACUAGGGAUCGGACGAUGUUAAUUUUUCUUGACUCGUUCGGCGCCUUACGGGAA